UGCUCAGUAACACGUCGAUAAUCUGACCUUAGAUCAGUGAUAGCCUUGGGAAACUGAGGGUAAUAACUGAUAGGAAAUUUGUUCUGGAAAUGAUUUAUUUCUGAAAGGUAACGUCUAAGGGUGAGUCGGCGGCAGAUUAGGCAGUUGGUGGGGUAACGGCCCACCAAACCUAAGAUCUGUAGGGGCCAUGAAAGUGGUAGCCUCGAGAAGGUCACUGAGAUACUGGACCUAGCCCUACGGGGUGCAGCAGGCGCGAAACCUUUACAAUGCGCUAACGCGUGAUAAGGGUACUCCAAGUGCUCAUGUUUUACAUGGGCUUUUGCCAAGGGUGAAUACCUUGGCGAAUAAGUGGUGGGCAAGACUGGUGCCAGCAGCCGCGGUAACCCCAGCGCCACAAGUGGUGAUCGGUUUUAUUGGGCCUAAAGCAUCCGUAGCUGGCCAAAAAAGUCUCUUGUGAAAUCGGGACGCUUAACGUACCGGACUGCAGGAGAUACUAUUUGGCUUGGAACUGGGAGGAGCAAGAGGAAUUUUGGGGGAAGCGGUAAAAUGCUAUAAUCCCCAAAAGACCACCGAUGGCGAAGGCAUCUUGCUAGAACAGAUUCGACAGUCAGGGAUGAAAGCUAGGGGAGCAAACCGGAUUAGAUACCCGAGUAGUCCUAGCCGUAAACGCUGUGAGUUAGGUGUUGCGUAUUCUUAGGGAAUACGCAGUAUCGUAGUGAAGACGUUAAACUCACCGCCUGGGAAGUAUGGU
Molecule: ribosomal RNA, 751 nt
Filed under: uncultured archaeon
Lineage: Archaea
Description: bacterial SSU rRNA
Rfam family: Archaeal small subunit ribosomal RNA
Source: RNAcentral